UAUCAAUAAGCGGAGGAAAAGAAACCAACAGGGAUUGCCCCAGUAACGGCGAGUGAAGCGGCAACAGCUCAAAUUUGAAAUCUGGCGCAAGCCCGAGUUGUAAUUUGUAGAGGAUGCUUCAGGGCAGCGGCCGGUCUAAGUUCCUUGGAACAGGACGUCAUAGAGGGUGAGAAUCCCGUAUGCGACCGGUUGGCACCCGUCACGUAGCUCCUUCGACGAGUCGAGUUGUUUGGGAAUGCAGCUCUAAAUGGGAGGUAAAUUUCUUCUAAAGCUAAAUACCGGCCAGAGACCGAUAGCGCACAAGUAGAGUGAUCGAAAGAUGAAAAGCACUUUGGAAAGAGAGUUAAAAAGCACGUGAAAUUGUUGAAAGGGAAGCGCAUGCAACCAGACUUGUCGGCGGUGUUCCGCCGGUCUUCUGACCGGUCCAUUCGCCGCCGACAGGCCAGCAUCAUCUGGGCGCGCCGGAUAAAGGCGUAGGGAAUGUGGCUCCUCGGAGUAUUAUAGCCCCGCGCACAAUACGGCGCCGCUCGGGUGAGGUCCGCGCUUCGGCUAGGAUGCUGGCGUAAUGGUUGUCUGCGGCCCGUCUUGAAACACGGACCAAGGAGUCUAACAUCUAUGCGAGUGUUCGGGCGUCAAACCCCUACGCGUAAUGAAAGUGAACGGAGGUGGGAAGCGCAAGCUGCACCAUCGACCGAUCCUGAUGUCUUCGGAUGGAUUUGAGUAAGAGCAUAGCUGUUGGGACCCGAAAGAUGGUGAACUAUGCCUGAAUAGGGUGAAGCCAGAGGAAACUCUGGUGGAGGCUCGCAGCGGUUCUGACGUGCAAAUCGAUCGUCAAAUUUGGGUAUAGGGGCGAAAGACUAAUCGAACCAUCUAGUAGCUGGUUCCUGCCGAAGUUU
RNAcentral lists this ribosomal RNA (896 nucleotides) under Teratosphaeria cryptica. Its description in RNAcentral is "eukaryotic LSU rRNA". It matches the Rfam family "Eukaryotic large subunit ribosomal RNA", at positions 41 to 969 of the family's 3401-position model. Lineage: Eukaryota; Fungi; Ascomycota; Dothideomycetes; Mycosphaerellales; Teratosphaeriaceae. The record is from RNAcentral.